This 1169-nucleotide ribosomal RNA is filed under the name Burkholderiaceae bacterium. Its description in RNAcentral is "partial 23S ribosomal RNA". It matches the Rfam family "Bacterial large subunit ribosomal RNA", at positions 1 to 1102 of the family's 2925-position model. The record is from RNAcentral. Lineage: Bacteria; Pseudomonadati; Pseudomonadota; Betaproteobacteria; Burkholderiales; Burkholderiaceae.
ACAGUGGACGCGAGCAUCUUUGUGGUCAAAUUAUUAAGUGCAAAUGGCGAAUGCCUUGGCACCAGAUGUCGAUGAAGGACGUAGGAGGCUGCGAUAAGCCUCGGGGAGCUGUCAACCGAGCUGUGAUCCGAGGAUUUCCGAAUGGGGAAACCCAACUGGAGUUAUGUCCAGUUAUUCCUGCCUGAAUAUAUAGGGCAGGUAAAGGUAACGGGGGGAAGUGAAACAUCUCAGUACCCCCAGGAAGAGAAAACAACCGUGAUUCCGUUAGUAGUGGCGAGCGAAAGCGGAAGAGGCUAAACCAAUAGCAUGUCAAUCCGGCAGGAGUUGUGUUAUUGGGGUCGUGGGACCAGUUGGAUCUAACUGCCGUUAGGUCAAUGAGUCAGAAAAUUCUUAAGUAGGCGAAGGACGUGGGAAAGUCCGCCAAAGUGGGUGAUAGCCCCGUAGCCGAAACUUUAGAAUCUCAUUAUUGGUAUCCCAAGUAGUACCGAACUCGAGGAAUUUGGUAUGAAUCUGGCGGGACCACCCGCUAAGCCUAAAUACGAUCUGGUGACCGAUAGCGAACAAGUACCGUGAGGGAAAGGUGAAAAGAACCCCGCAAGGGGAGUGAAAUAGAAUCUGAAACCGUUUGCAUACAAGCCGUAGGAGCGGGGCAACCUGUGACUGCGUGCCUUUUGAAGAAUGAGUCUACGAGUCAGUGUCAUGUUGCGAGGUUAACCCGUCGAGGGGAAGCCGUAGCGAAAGCGAGUCUGAAUAGGGCGAAUUAGUAGCAUGAUCUGGACCCGAAGCGAGGUGAUCUACGCAUGGCCAGGUUGAAGCGCGGGUAAGACCGCGUGGAGGACCGCACCCACGUAAGUUGAAAAUUGCGGGGAUGAGCUGUGUGUAGGGGUGAAAGGCCAAUCAAACUUCGUGAUAGCUGGUUCUCUCCGAAAUGCAUUUAGGUGCAGCGUUACGUGUUUCUUACCGGAGGUAGAGCUACUGGAUGGUCGAGGGGUCCUACAAGAUUACCAACAUCAGCCAAACUCCGAAUGCCGGUAAGUGAGAACGUAGCAGUGAGACUGUGGGGGAUAAGCUUCAUGGUCGAGAGGGAAACAACCCAGAAUAGCAACUAAGGUCCCAAAGCCUGUGCUAAGUGGAAAAGGAUGUGAAGUCGCAUAGACAACCAGGAGGUU